UAGGGAAUCUUCGGCAAUGGACGAAAGUCUGACCGAGCCACGCCGCGUGAGUGAAGAAGGUUUUCGGAUCGUAAAACUCUGUUGUUAGAGAAGAACAAGGACGUUAGUAACUGAACGUCCCCUGACGGUAUCUAACCAGAAAGCCACGGCUAACUACGUGCCAGCAGCCGCGGUAAUACGUAGGUGGCAAGCGUUGUCCGGAUUUAUUGGGCGUAAAGCGAGCGCAGGCGGUUUCUUAAGUCUGAUGUGAAAGCCCCCGGCUCAACCGGGGAGGGUCAUUGGAAACUGGGAGACUUGAGUGCAGAAGAGGAGAGUGGAAUUCCAUGUGUAGCGGUGAAAUGCGUAGAUAUAUGGAGGAACACCAGUGGCGAAGGCGGCUCUCUGGUCUGUAACUGACGCUGAGGCUCGAAAGCGUGGGGAGCAAACAGG
This 429-nucleotide ribosomal RNA is filed under the name Gemmatimonadota bacterium. Its description in RNAcentral is "Gemmatimonadetes bacterium partial 16S ribosomal RNA". It matches the Rfam family "Bacterial small subunit ribosomal RNA", at positions 355 to 776 of the family's 1533-position model. The record is from RNAcentral. Lineage: Bacteria; Pseudomonadati; Gemmatimonadota.